GGUGAGGUGUCCUGAGUGGGCUGAAGCGGAGCACGCCCGAAAGUGUGUAUGCGCGGCAACGUAUCGGGGUUCGAAUCCCCCUCACCGCCA
This 90-nucleotide transfer RNA is filed under the name Salmonella enterica subsp. enterica. Its description in RNAcentral is "tRNA-OTHER". The record is from RNAcentral. Lineage: Bacteria; Pseudomonadati; Pseudomonadota; Gammaproteobacteria; Enterobacterales; Enterobacteriaceae.